UAGUCCUAGCCGUAAACGAUGGGCACUAGGUGUUGGAGGAGUCUACCCCUUCAGUGCCGCAGCUAAUGCAUUAAGUGCCCCACCUGGGGAGUACGAUCGCAAGGUUGAAACUCAAAGGAAUUGACGGGGGCCCGCACAAGCGGUGGAGCAUGUGGUUUAAUUCGAUCCAACGCGAAGAACCUUACCUGGGCUUGACAUGCAGGGGACAGGUGUAGAAAUACACCCUUCUUCGGACUCCUGUACAGGUGCUGCAUGGCUGUCGUCAGCUCGUGUCGUGAAAUGUUGGGUUAAGUCCCGCAACGAGCGCAACCCCUGUCUUCAGUUGCCAUCAGGUUAUGCUGGGGACUCUGGAGAGACUGCCGGUGACAAACCGGGAGGAAGGGUGGGGACGACGUCAAGUCAUCAUGGCCCUUACGCCCAGGGGCUACACACGUGCUACAAUGGUCGGUACAAUGGGCAGCGAUGCUGCGAAGUGGGAGCGAA
This 483-nucleotide ribosomal RNA is filed under the name uncultured bacterium. Its description in RNAcentral is "bacterial SSU rRNA". It matches the Rfam family "Bacterial small subunit ribosomal RNA", at positions 791 to 1271 of the family's 1533-position model. The record is from RNAcentral.